ACCCUGACAAGCUUCCCGAGGGUGAAAGAGACCACUUUCCUGCCUCCAGGUGUCUGAAGUGUAAUCUUAGAAAAUACAGAUGGAUGACAUCAUUACAGUGCCACUGAACCAGGACACAAACAGCAACAUCAGUGUAAACACCUGGAGUGCCGCGCCAUCAGGAAAGGGAUGCCAGCUGUGAAGGCGAGGGCCGGGUGGGUGCACGGCUUGCCGGCAGGGCUGCGGGACGGACGCGGUCCGGCGUGCGAUGGGCCACCUCUGCGUGCUGGUGGAGGGCUCUUUGCUGCAGCGUGGAGAGCGAUAGUUGUUCUGUAGCUCUUUCACCCGAGAUUGGGCUUGCCCCUGGACAAAUCAUCCUGCAGUUCAGUGCUGGAGAGAAAAUGCAGUGCAAGGAAACGGGAACAAUGUCUGCGUGCACGCUGAGAAUCUGCAAACAGCUGGGAGACACCAAGCACUUUCCUGUUAACAGGCUGCACUUCCUAAGCGGGGCYGUGUAAACAUGAGCUGUGCAGAGAGGUGGCAGGUCCUUUACUCCGGGGAUGCGGGACCACUUGGGUCUGCUGUGACACGUGUGAUAUUGCAGGCUGAAUGUAGUGAAAUAAAGACAUUYUCAUGUGUCAGAAGACUUUUAGCCUCCUGUAAAUUCAGCAAAGGGGGAAUUGGGAUAGAUUCUGCUCAGAAAUGCCGC
Molecule: long non-coding RNA, 688 nt
Filed under: Apteryx rowi (Okarito brown kiwi)
Lineage: Eukaryota; Metazoa; Chordata; Aves; Apterygiformes; Apterygidae
Description: lncRNA (ENSARWG00000009140.1)
Source: RNAcentral